CGCCGGCAAGAGUGCUUGCAACUCGGAAGAGCUCUUCGUGGUCUAGCUCGAAGCAGUUGUAGAGACGUCGCCCUGCCUUCUUGCCCGCGGCUGUGUAGGGAG
RNAcentral lists this unclassified non-coding RNA (102 nucleotides) under fungal sp. RNAcentral describes it as "partial internal transcribed spacer region". Lineage: Eukaryota; Fungi. The record is from RNAcentral.